This 30-nucleotide non-coding RNA is filed under the name Rattus norvegicus (Norway rat). The record is from RNAcentral. Lineage: Eukaryota; Metazoa; Chordata; Mammalia; Rodentia; Muridae.
UAAAGAAAUGUGACCCUGUGGUGAUAUAAU